ACUACAAGGAUUCCCCUAGUAACUGCGAGUGAAGCGGGAAAAGCUCAAAUUUAAAAUCUGGCAGUCUUUGGCUGUCCGAGUUGUAGUCUGGAGAAGUGCUUUCCGUGCUGGACCGUGUACAAGUCUCCUGGAAUGGAGUGUCAUAGAGGGUGAGAAUCCCGUCUUUGACACGGACUACCAGUGCUCUGUGAUGUGCUCUCAAAGAGUCGAGUUGUUUGGGAAUGCAGCUCAAAAUGGGUGGUGAAUUCCAUCUAAAGCUAAAUAUUGGCGAGAGACCGAUAGCGAACAAGUACCGUGAGGGAAAGAUGAAAAGCACUUUGGAAAGAGAGUUAAACAGUACGUGAAAUUGUUGAAAGGGAAACGCUUGAAGUCAGUCGCGUUUGCCAGAACUCAGCCUAGCUUCGGCUUGGUGUACUUUCUGGUGAACGGGCCAGCAUCAAUUUUGAUCGUCGGAUAAUGGCAAGGGGAAUGUGGCACCUUCGGGUGUGUUAUAGCCCCUUGUCGCAUACGGCGGUUGGGAUUGAGGAAUUCGGCAUCCCCUCGUGGUUGAUGCUUAGGAUGCUGGCGUAAUGGCUUUAAACGACCCGUCUGG
Molecule: ribosomal RNA, 592 nt
Filed under: Laxitextum sp.
Lineage: Eukaryota; Fungi; Basidiomycota; Agaricomycetes; Russulales; Gloeocystidiellaceae
Description: partial large subunit ribosomal RNA
Rfam family: Eukaryotic large subunit ribosomal RNA
Source: RNAcentral